AAAGCACAGAGGACUCUGUGUAGGGACCACGAUAGUUUUAUUUUCCUUGACCUGCUCCAUGGGAACACAGUCUUCCUUGAGCAACAAGUCCACAGUUUAUUCAGUACUGGAGUCAGACUGAGCAGGCUGUAGUUUUCUGAAUCCUCCCUUUCCCCCAUUUUGAAGAUUGGAACAGCCUUUCCACUUCUCCAAGAUUUCUCAAAGAGGACUCCAUCUGCCGUCAUGGAGGGAAGAUUUAAA
Hemicordylus capensis (graceful crag lizard) is the source of this 240-nucleotide long non-coding RNA. RefSeq lists it as uncharacterized. Lineage: Eukaryota; Metazoa; Chordata; Lepidosauria; Squamata; Cordylidae. The record is from RefSeq and is a predicted model, not a curated record. The transcript has 3 exons.